This 119-nucleotide ribosomal RNA is filed under the name Salmo salar (Atlantic salmon). The record is from RNAcentral. Lineage: Eukaryota; Metazoa; Chordata; Actinopteri; Salmoniformes; Salmonidae.
GCUUACGGCCAUAUCAGCCUGGGUACGCCUGAUCUCGUCUGAUCUCGGAAGCUAAGCAGGGUCGGGCCUGGUUAGUACUUGGAUGGGAGACCGCCUGGGAAUACCAGGUGCUGUAAGCA